Molecule: ribosomal RNA, 114 nt
Filed under: uncultured bacterium
Lineage: Bacteria
Description: partial 16S ribosomal RNA
Rfam family: Bacterial small subunit ribosomal RNA
Source: RNAcentral
CGUUCCCGGGCCUUGUACACACCGCCCGUCACACCACGAGAGUUUGUAACACCCGAAGCCGGUGGGGUAACCGUAAGGAGCCAGCCGUCGAAGGUGGGAUAGAUGAUUGGGGUG